This 253-nucleotide ribosomal RNA is filed under the name uncultured bacterium. RNAcentral's name for it is "partial 16S ribosomal RNA". It matches the Rfam family "Bacterial small subunit ribosomal RNA", at positions 524 to 776 of the family's 1533-position model. The record is from RNAcentral.
UACGUAGGGUGCGAGCGUUGCCCGGAUUUAUUGGGCGUAAAGAGCUCGUAGGCGGUCUGUCGCGUCUGUUGUGAAAACUCGAGGCUCAACCUCGGGCUUGCAGUGGAUACGGGCAGACUAGAGUGCGGUAGGGGAGACUGGAAUUCCUGGUGUAGCGGUGGAAUGCGCAGAUAUCAGGAGGAACACCGAUGGCGAAGGCAGGUCUCUGGGCCGCAACUGACGCUGAGGAGCGAAAGCAUGGGGAGCGAACAGG